Long non-coding RNA from Dalotia coriaria, 751 nucleotides. RefSeq lists it as uncharacterized. The transcript is spliced from 2 exons. NCBI's taxonomy places the organism in Eukaryota, Metazoa, Arthropoda, Insecta, Coleoptera, Staphylinidae. The record is from RefSeq and is a predicted model, not a curated record.
AGGUUAGAACACUUUUCUAAACAGUCACUAGAUGACGCAAAGAUAAACUUUUAAAGAAUAUUCCAAGUUUAACAAGGAUAAUAGGUAGAUGGCAUACUGCUUAUCUGCACGUGCAGAUUGUGCUUGCUAGCGAGCGCACGAAAACUUCGUAAACAACACAAAUCAAAACAAUAACUUGGUAGAUGUGUUAAACUUACACAAUGAACGUUGUAAAUCGCGAUUUGGUAAAAUAUGUGAAAAUAAUGCUAUUAUUUUGCUUGUGGUUCCUGAUUAUUUCAUCAUUUCGUCUUCAACAAUGAGAAGAUUGUCGGAAGAACAAAGAAGGAAUCAGUCAGAAAGGAUGAAAAAGCACGGGUGAGAGACAACAACAAUGAUGUUCGCGUGGUCCACGAUGGUUGAUUAGCAGGAAAGAAGAAGAAAGGACAAACCUUAAAGGUUUCACAAAACUUGUUACACAUUGCAACAAGUUUCACCACACUCUGGCAUCAUCAGGCAGAUGAAUAUUAAAAGUGAAAGUGCAAAAUUAAACUAUUUAUAGAAGUGGUGGGGAUACUAUUUUGAAGGGUGUAAAUUAAGCAGUGAGGAUUUGUUAACUUCUACCUGAUCUUUUAACAAUAAUCUCUUUGGGCUAUAAUUGUUGAUUUCCAAACAUUGUAGUAGGUUUAAUUUCGUGCUCUUUUUAUACCUAUCUAAAAUUUAAAAGUUAGGAUGCAAUAUAUGAUUAUGUUUUAAUAAAUGCUCUGAGUAUGAA